CUGCUGCCUCCCGUAGGAGUCUGGGCCGUGUCUCAGUCCCAGUGUGGGGGGGCCUUCCUCUCAGAACCCCUACGCAUCGUCGCCACGGUGGGCCGUCACCCCGCCGUCUAGCUAAUGCGCCGCAUGCCCAUCCGCCACCGGAUCGCUCCUUUGGCCACCGGAGGAUGCCCUCCGGUGGCGUCACGGGGUAUUAGGCCGCGUUUCCGCGGGUUAUCCCCCUGUGGCGGCCAGGUGCAUACGUGUUACUCACCCGUGCGCCGGUCGCCGGG
This 269-nucleotide ribosomal RNA is filed under the name uncultured bacterium. RNAcentral's name for it is "partial 16S ribosomal RNA". The record is from RNAcentral.